CGUGCCUAACACAUGCAAGUCGAGCGGGGACAUACGACGGACAGGAAGUUUUCGGAUGGAAUGGAAGAUGUAUGUUCUAGCGGCGGACGGGUGAGUAACGCGUGAGCAACCUGUCCCUUACAGGGGGAUAACACAGCGAAAGCUGUACUAAUACCGCAUAAGACCACAGAGAGACAUCUCACAGGGGUCAAAGGAGCAAUCCGGUAAGGGGUGGGCUCGCGUCCGAUUAGAUAGUUGGUGAGGUAACGGCCCACCAAGUCAACGAUCGGUAGCCGACCUGAGAGGAUGGACGGCCACAUUGGGACUGAGACACGGCCCAGACUCCUACGGGAGGCAGCAGUGGGGAAUCUUCCGCAAUGGGCGCAAGCCUGACGGAGCAACGCCGCGUGAGUGAGGAAGUUUUUCGGAACGUAAAGCUCUGUUGUUUGCGACGAACGUGCGCCCUGUGAAGAAUGGGGCGCAAUGACGGUAGCAGACGAGGAAGCCACGGCUAACUACGUGCC
RNAcentral lists this ribosomal RNA (503 nucleotides) under uncultured organism. RNAcentral's name for it is "SSU rRNA". It matches the Rfam family "Bacterial small subunit ribosomal RNA", at positions 43 to 509 of the family's 1533-position model. The record is from RNAcentral.